This 953-nucleotide ribosomal RNA is filed under the name uncultured Propionigenium sp. Its description in RNAcentral is "bacterial SSU rRNA". It matches the Rfam family "Bacterial small subunit ribosomal RNA", at positions 61 to 1030 of the family's 1533-position model. Lineage: Bacteria; Fusobacteriati; Fusobacteriota; Fusobacteriia; Fusobacteriales; Fusobacteriaceae. The record is from RNAcentral.
GUCUACUCGAAAGCUCUUCGGAGUGAUUAGGGUGGCGGACGGGUGAGUAACGCGUAAAGAACUUGCCCUUCAGACUGGGACAACUGUUGGAAACGACAGCUAAUACCGGAUAUUAUGAGACUAAGGCAUCUUAGACUUAUGAAAGCUAUAUGCGCUGAAGGAGAGCUUUGCGUCCUAUUAGCUAGUUGGUGAGGUAAUGGCUCACCAAGGCGACGAUAGGUAGCCGGCCUGAGAGGGUGAACGGCCACAAGGGGACUGAGACACGGCCCUUACUCCUACGGGAGGCAGCAGUGGGGAAUAUUGGACAAUGGACCAAAAGUCUGAUCCAGCAAUUCUGUGUGUUUGAUGAAGGCCUUCGGGUUGUAAAGAACUUUCAGUGGGGAAGAAGCAAGUGACGGUACCCACAGAAGAAGCGACGGCUAAAUACGUGCCAGCAGCCGCGGUAAUACGUAUGUCGCAAGCGUUAUCCGGAAUUAUUGGGCAUAAAGGGCGUCUAGGCGGUCUAAUAAGUCUGAUGUGAAAAUGCGGGGCUCAACCCCGUAUUGCGUUGGAAACUGUUAGACUAGAGUUUUGGAGAGGUAGGCGGAACUACAAGUGUAGAGGUGAAAUUCGUAGAGAUUUGUAGGAAUGCCGAUGACGAAGGUAGCUUACUGGACAAAUACUGACGCUGAAGCGCGAAAGCUAGGGGAGCAAACAGGAUUAGAUACCCUGGUAGUCCUAGCUGUAAACGAUGAUCACUGGGUGUGGGGGGUCGAACCUCUGUGCCGAAGUUAAUGCGAUAAGUGAUCCGCCUGGGGAGUACGGCCGCAAGGCUGAAACUCAAAGGAAUUGACGGGGACCCGCACAAGUGGUGGAGCAUGUGGUUUAAUUCGACGCAACGCGAGGAACCUUACCAGUCCUUGACAUCCUCUAAACUUUCUGGAGACAGAUUGGUGCCCCUUCGGGGGAAUAGA